Molecule: ribosomal RNA, 1380 nt
Filed under: uncultured bacterium
Lineage: Bacteria
Description: bacterial SSU rRNA
Rfam family: Bacterial small subunit ribosomal RNA
Source: RNAcentral
AGAGUUUGAUCCUGGCUCAGGACGAACGCUGGCGGCGCGCCUAACACAUGCAAGUCGAACGGAGCUGAGAGGAGCUUGCUUUUUUCAGCUUAGUGGCGAACGGGUGAGUAACGCGUGAGUAACCUGCCCUGGAGUGGGGGACAACAGUUGGAAACGACUGCUAAUACCGCAUAAGCCCACGGAUCCGCAUGGAUCUGCGGGAAAAGGAUUUAUUCGCUCUAGGAUGGACUCGCGUCCAAUUAGCUAGUUGGUGAGGUAACGGCCCACCAAGGCGACGAUUGGUAGCCGGACUGAGAGGUUGAACGGCCACAUUGGGACUGAGACACGGCCCAGACUCCUACGGGAGGCAGCAGUGGGGGAUAUUGCACAAUGGGGGAAACCCUGAUGCAGCGACGCCGCGUGGAGGAAGAAGGUUUUCGGAUUGUAAACUCCUGUCGUUAGGGACGAUAAUGACGGUACCUAACAAGAAAGCACCGGCUAACUACGUGCCAGCAGCCGCGGUAAAACGUAGGGUGCAAGCGUUGUCCGGAAUUACUGGGUGUAAAGGGAGCGCAGGCGGACCGGCAAGUUGGAAGUGAAAACUGUGGGCUCAACCCAUAAAUUGCUUUCAAAACUGCUGGCCUUGAGUAGUGCAGAGGUAGGUGGAAUUCCCGGUGUAGCGGUGGAAUGCGUAGAUAUCGGGAGGAACACCAGUGGCGAAGGCGACCUACUGGGCACCAACUGACGCUGAGGCUCGAAAGCAUGGGUAGCAAACAGGAUUAGAUACCCUGGUAGUCCAUGCCGUAAACGAUGAUUACUAGGUGUUGGGAGGAUUGACCCCUUCAGUGCCGCAGUUAACACAAUAAGUAAUCCACCUGGGGGAGUACGACCCGCAAGGUUGAAACUCAAAGGGAAUUGACGGGGGGCCCGCACAAGCAGUGGAAGUAUGGGGGUUUAAUUUCGAAGCAACGCGAAGAACCUUACCAGGUCUUGACAUCCGAUGCAUAGUGCAGAGAUGCAUGAAGUCCUUCGGGACAUCGAGACAGGUGGUGCAUGGUUGUCGUCAGCUCGUGUCGUGAGAUGUUGGGUUAAGUCCCGCAACGAGCGCAACCCUUAUUGCCAGUUACUACGCAAGAGGACUCUGGCGAGACUGCCGUUGACAAAACGGAGGAAGGUGGGGAUGACGUCAAAUCAUCAUGCCCUUUAUGACCUGGGCUACACACGUACUACAAUGGCGUUUAACAAAGAGAAGCAAGACCGCGAGGUGGAGCAAAACUCAAAAACAACGUCUCAGUUCAGAUUGCAGGCUGCAACUCGCCUGCAUGAAGUCGGAAUUGCUAGUAAUCGCGGAUCAGCAUGCCGCGGUGAAUACGUUCCCGGGCCUUGCACACACCGCCCGUC